Small nucleolar RNA from Protopterus annectens (West African lungfish), 100 nucleotides. RefSeq annotates it as small nucleolar RNA U13. The record is from RefSeq and is a predicted model, not a curated record. NCBI's taxonomy places the organism in Eukaryota, Metazoa, Chordata, Ceratodontiformes, Protopteridae. The transcript has a single exon.
AUCCUUCUCGGUUCUUACAAGUGAUGAGUGGGUUGUCACGCUUUUUGCGUGAUAUGUGCGUCCCUUAUUAGUUACGACAUUGCACAUUACCCAUCUGAUC